Molecule: ribosomal RNA, 539 nt
Filed under: uncultured bacterium
Lineage: Bacteria
Description: bacterial SSU rRNA
Rfam family: Bacterial small subunit ribosomal RNA
Source: RNAcentral
UGGGGAAUCUUGGACAAUGGGGGCAACCCUGAUCCAGCCAUGCCGCGUGAGUGAUGAAGGCCUUAGGGUCGUAAAGCUCUUUCGCCUGUGAAGAUAAUGACGGUAGCAGGUAAAGAAACCCCGGCUAACUCCGUGCCAGCAGCCGCGGUAAUACGGAGGGGGUUAGCGUUGUUCGGAAUUACUGGGCGUAAAGCGCACGUAGGCGGACCAGAAAGUUGGGGGUGAAAUCCCGGGGGCUCAACCCCGGAACUGCCUCCAAAACUAUUGGUCUAGAGUUCGAGAGAGGUGAGUGGAAUUCCAAGUGUAGAGGUGAAAUUCGUAGAUAUUUGGAGGAACACCAGUGGCGAAGGCGGCUCACUGGCUCGAUACUGACGCUGAGGUGCGAAAGUGUGGGGAGCAAACAGGAUUAGAUACCCUGGUAGUCCACACCGUAAAACGAUGAAUGCCAGUCGUCGGGUAGCAUGCUAUUCGGUGACACACCUAACGGAUUAAGCAUUCCGCCUGGGGAGUACGGUCGCAAGAUUAAAACCUCAAAGGAA